UAGAGUACUUCAGAGUUUGAUCCUGGCUCAGGACGAACGCUGGCGGCGUGCCUAACACAUGCAAGUCGAACGGGGUUAAGGAAGCUUGCUUUCUUAACUUAGUGGCGAACGGGUGAGUAACGCGUGAGGAACCUGCCUUUCAGUGGGGGACAACAGUUGGAAACGACUGCUAAUACCGCAUAAUGUAUUCGGACCGCAUGAUCUGAAUACCAAAGCUUUAUGUGCUGAAAGAUGGCCUCGCGUCUGAUUAGCUAGUUGGUGGGGUAACGGCCCACCAAGGCGACGAUCAGUAGCCGGUCUGAGAGGAUGAACGGCCACAUUGGGACUGAGAUACGGCCCAG
This 341-nucleotide ribosomal RNA is filed under the name uncultured bacterium. RNAcentral's name for it is "bacterial SSU rRNA". It matches the Rfam family "Bacterial small subunit ribosomal RNA", at positions 1 to 334 of the family's 1533-position model. The record is from RNAcentral.